RNAcentral lists this unclassified non-coding RNA (345 nucleotides) under soil metagenome. RNAcentral's name for it is "partial contains 5.8S ribosomal RNA, internal transcribed spacer 2, and large subunit ribosomal RNA". The stretch from base 1 to 120 matches the Rfam family "5.8S ribosomal RNA", at positions 35 to 154 of the family's 154-position model. The record is from RNAcentral.
GAUGAAGAACGCAGCGAAAUGCGAUAAGUAAUGUGAAUUGCAGAAUUCAGUGAAUCAUCGAGUCUUUGAACGCACAUUGCGCCCCCUGGUAUCCCGGGGGGCAUGCCUGUCCGAGCGUCAUUGCUGCCCUCAAGCACGGCUUGUGUGUUGGGCCUCCGUCCUCCUCCCGGGGGACGGGCCCGAAAGGCAGCGGCGGCACCGCGUCCGGUCCUCGAGCGUAUGGGGCUUCGUCACCCGCUCUUGUAGGCCCGGCCGGCGCUUGCCGACACAUCAAUCUUUUUUCCAGGUUGACCUCGGAUCAGGUAGGGAUACCCGCUGAACUUAAGCAUAUCAAUAAGCGGAGGA